This 74-nucleotide transfer RNA is filed under the name Candidatus Portiera aleyrodidarum (primary endosymbiont of Bemisia tabaci). RNAcentral's name for it is "tRNA-Ala". It matches the Rfam family "tRNA". Rfam says of the family: Transfer RNA (tRNA) molecules are approximately 80 nucleotides in length. Their secondary structure includes four short double-helical elements and three loops (D, anti-codon, and T loops). Further hydrogen bonds mediate the characteristic L-shaped molecular structure. tRNAs have two regions of fundamental functional importance: the anti-codon, which is responsible for specific mRNA codon recognition, and the 3' end, to which the tRNAs corresponding amino acid is attached (by aminoacyl-tRNA synthetases). tRNAs cope with the degeneracy of the genetic code in two manners: having more than one tRNA (with a specific anti-codon) for a particular amino acid; and 'wobble' base-pairing, i.e. permitting non-standard base-pairing at the 3rd anti-codon position. Lineage: Bacteria; Pseudomonadati; Pseudomonadota; Gammaproteobacteria; Johnevansiales (SeqCode); Johnevansiaceae (SeqCode). The record is from RNAcentral.
GGGGCCAUAGUUCAAUUGGUAGAACGCCUGCUUUGCAUGUAGGAGACUAGGAGUUCAAAUCUCCUUGGUUCCAC